RNAcentral lists this ribosomal RNA (254 nucleotides) under uncultured bacterium. Its description in RNAcentral is "partial 16S ribosomal RNA". It matches the Rfam family "Bacterial small subunit ribosomal RNA", at positions 524 to 776 of the family's 1533-position model. The record is from RNAcentral.
UACGUAGGGGGCAAGCGUUGUCCGGAAUCAUUGGGCGUCAAGAGCUCGUAGGCGGUGUGUCACGUCGGCCGUGAAAACCUGCAGCUUAACUGUGGGCGUGCGGUCGAUACGGGCAUCACUGGAGUUCGGCAGGGGAGACUGGAAUUCCUGGUGUAGCGGUGAAAUGCGCAGAUAUCAGGAGGAACACCGGUGGCGAAGGCGGGUCUCUGGGCCGAUACUGACGCUGAGGAGCGAAAGCGUGGGGAGCAAACAGG